UAGAGUUUGAUUAUGGCUCAGGACCAUUGCUGGCGGCGCGCCUAACACAUGCAAGUCGAACGGAGCUCAUAUUUCAGAAGUUUUCGGAUGGACGAGAGAUAAGCUUAGUGGCGGACGGGUGAGUAACACGUGAGCAACCUGCCUUUCAGAGGGGGAUAACAGUUGGAAACGACUGCUAAUACCGCAUAACGCUGCGAUGGGGCAUCCCGAUGCAGCCAAAGGAGCAAUCCGCUGAAAGAUGGGCUCGCGGCCGAUUAGCUAGUUGGUGGGGCAACGGCCCACCAAGGCGACGAUCGGUAGCCGGACUGAGAGGUUGAUCGGCCACAUUGGGACUGAGACACGGCCCAGACUCCUACGGGAGGCAGCAGUGGGGGAUAUUGCACAAUGGAGGAAACUCUGAUGCAGCGACGCCGCGUGAGGGAAGACGGUCUUCGGAUUGUAAACCUCUGUCUUUGGGGAAGAAAAUGACGGUACCCAAAGAGGAAGCUCCGGCUAACUACGUGCCAGCAGCCGCGGUAAUACGUAGGGAGCGAGCGUUGUCCGGAAUUACUGGGUGUAAAGGGAGCGUAGGCGGGCGAGAAAGUUGAAUGUUAAAUCUACCGGCUUAACUGGUAGCUGCGUUCAAGACUUCUUGUCUUGAGUGAAGUAGAGGCAGGCGGAAUUCCUAGUGUAGCGGUGAAAUGCGUAAAUAUUAGGAGGAACACCAGUGGCGAAGGCGGCCUGCUGGGCUUUACCUGACCCUGAGGC
Molecule: ribosomal RNA, 747 nt
Filed under: uncultured bacterium
Lineage: Bacteria
Description: bacterial SSU rRNA
Rfam family: Bacterial small subunit ribosomal RNA
Source: RNAcentral